Molecule: ribosomal RNA, 460 nt
Filed under: uncultured bacterium
Lineage: Bacteria
Description: partial 16S ribosomal RNA
Rfam family: Bacterial small subunit ribosomal RNA
Source: RNAcentral
CCUACGGGAGGCAGCAGUGAGGAAUAUUGGUCAAUGGGCGGAAGCCUGAACCAGCCAAGUAGCGUGCAGGAUGACGGCCCUACGGGUUGUAAACCUCUUUUGCCGGGGAGCAACGGGGUCCUUGCGAGGGCCCGAUGAGAGUACCCGGAGAAAAAGCAUCGGCUAACUCCGUGCCAGCAGCCGCGGUAAUACGGAGGAUGCGAGCGUUAUCCGGAUUUAUUGGGUUUAAAGGGUGCGUAGGCGGGCUGUUAAGUCAGCGGUCAAAUGUCGGGGCUCAACCCCGCGCUGCCGUUGAAACUGGUGGCCGCGAGUGGGCGAGAGGUAUGCGGAAUGCGUGGUGUAGCGGUGAAAGGCAUAGAUAUCACGCAGAACUCCGAUUGCGAAGGCAGCAUACCGGCGCCCCACUGACGCUGAGGCACGAAAGCGUGGGUAUCGAACAGGAUUAGAUACCCUGGUAGUC